Molecule: ribosomal RNA, 371 nt
Filed under: uncultured Bacteroidales bacterium
Lineage: Bacteria; Pseudomonadati; Bacteroidota; Bacteroidia; Bacteroidales
Description: bacterial SSU rRNA
Rfam family: Bacterial small subunit ribosomal RNA
Source: RNAcentral
GCUCAGGAUGAACGCUAGCUACAGGCUUAACACAUGCAAGUCGAGGGGUAGCAGGGUAGCAAUACCGCUGACGACCGGCGCACGGGUGAGUAACACGUAUCCAACCUUCCCAUAACUCGGGGAUAGCCUUUCGAAAGAAAGAUUAAUACCCGAUAGUACUUUAUUAAGGCAUCUUAAGAAAGUUAAAGAUUUAUUGGUUAUGGAUGGGGAUGCGUUCCAUUAGAUAGUUGGUGAGGUAACGGCUCACCAAGUCUUCGAUGGAUAGGGGUUCUGAGAGGAAGGUCCCCCACAUUGGUACUGAGACACGGACCAAACUCCUACGGGAGGCAGCAGUGAGGAAUAUUGGUCAACGGGCGAGAGCCUGAACCAGC